GACGAACGCUGGCGGCGUGCUUAACACAUGCAAGUCGAACGGAAAGGCCCUGCUUUUGUGGGGUGCUCGAGUGGCGAACGGGUGAGUAACACGUGAGUAACCUGCCCUUGACUUUGGGAUAACUUCAGGAAACUGGGGCUAAUACCGGAUAGGAGCUCCUGCUGCAUGGUGGGGGUUGGAAAGUUUCGGCGGUUGGGGAUGGACUCGCGGCUUAUCAGCUUGUUGGUGGGGUAGUGGCUUACCAAGGCUUGGACGGGUAGCCGGCCUGAGAGGGUGACCGGCCACAUUGGGACUGAGAUACGGCCCAGACUCGUACGGGAGGCAGCAGUGGGGAAUAUUGCACAAUGGGCGGAAGCCGGAUGCAGCAACGCCGCGUGCGGGAUGACGGCCUUCGGGGUGUAAACCGCUUUCGCCUGUGACGAAGCGUGAGUGACGGUAAUGGGUAAAGAAGCACCGGCUAACUACGUG
RNAcentral lists this ribosomal RNA (468 nucleotides) under uncultured bacterium. RNAcentral's name for it is "partial 16S ribosomal RNA". It matches the Rfam family "Bacterial small subunit ribosomal RNA", at positions 28 to 507 of the family's 1533-position model. The record is from RNAcentral.